Molecule: long non-coding RNA, 890 nt
Filed under: Piliocolobus tephrosceles (Ugandan red Colobus)
Lineage: Eukaryota; Metazoa; Chordata; Mammalia; Primates; Cercopithecidae
Description: lncRNA (ENSPTEG00000024951.1)
Source: RNAcentral
UUUAUUUGGCAUUUAUUUGGCAUUUAUCGCUUUUUUUUUCUUUUUUUCUUUUUUUAAAUUGCUGUAACUUAAAAGUAUUGCGUAUAAUAUAAUUUCGUCAAUGUAUGUGAAAGUAUAAAUACAUACGAACACAUAUAUAUAUAUAUAUAUAUAUAUAUGCAUAUGUAAACAUAUUUAUGUAUUAUUCAUACAUAUUUGUUUUUAUUUAUGUAUAACAAAUAUUGAAGAUGUUAACAUUUAUAAAAAAGGCCUCUAAGGGUUUCGUCUACUGUUGCUCCUGUUGUAAAAAUUUUAAAGUUCGUAAGUUUUUUAGUGAAGAUUAUUUUUGGACUAAAGCCAACAUCGGCCCACUUUGUAUUGGCAUUUUAACAGCACCCUAUUGGUUUUCAGCAUUAAAAAAUUUUUACUGGACUACACGUUAUGAACGAUUAAAUCAACAGGAAAUAUUGUCUGAUAGAUUUACUUGGUUAUAUGAAAGGAUGUUAGAAGACGAAGUACAUAAAACUCUUUUACGCAAAUUGCCUUCAUACAAUUUUAAAGACAGUGGUCCAGAAAAUAUAUUAGGACCCAGCAAAAUAUAACAUUUUUUUUUUUUUUUUUUUUUUUUGGCUGUAAUCACAUAUACAUACAUAUAUAUAUGUAUAUAUAUUUAUGGUAAAUUAAGAGUGAUUGAUUUAAAAUAAUUAUGUAUAGUAUAAUAACGAUAGUACAGAGUUGCAAAUAUUAAUUUAUAUAUAUAUAUAUAUAUAUAUAUAUUUACAUGUGGAUGAACCACCUAUGUAUGGUUCCAUUAGAAUAUUGCUAAUAUAUAUUCUAACGAACUAUCUAACUGUAUUUAUAAUUAUAUUACUAUACAUACCUUUUUACAAAACAUCACAAUAAAUAUAGCC